AGUGAACGCUGGCGGUAGGCCUAACACAUGCAAGUCGAACGGCAGCACAGUAAGAGCUUGCUCUUACGGGUGGCGAGUGGCGGACGGGUGAGGAAUACAUCGGAAUCUACUUUUUCGUGGGGGAUAACGUAGGGAAACUUACGCUAAUACCGCAUACGACGUACGGGUGAAAGCAGGGGAUCUUCGGACCUUGCGCGAUUGAAUGAGCCGAUUUCGGAUUAGCUAGUUGGCGGGGUAAAGGCCCACCAAGGCGACGAUCCGUAGCUGGUGUGAGAGGAUGAUCGGCGACACUGGAGGUGGGCCACGGACCAGGGGCCUGCGGGAGGGCGCAGAGGGGAAUGGUAGACAAUAGGGGGGAACAUGGUCCAGCGGUCCCGCGUGGGUGAAGGAGGCCUUCCGGGUGGGAAGCCCUUUUGUUGGGAAAAAAAAGCAGCAGGUUAAUACCCCGCGGUUCUGACGGUACCCAAAGAAUAAGCACCGGCUAACUACGUG
Molecule: ribosomal RNA, 492 nt
Filed under: uncultured bacterium
Lineage: Bacteria
Description: partial 16S ribosomal RNA
Rfam family: Bacterial small subunit ribosomal RNA
Source: RNAcentral